This 265-nucleotide ribosomal RNA is filed under the name uncultured archaeon. RNAcentral describes it as "partial 16S ribosomal RNA". It matches the Rfam family "Archaeal small subunit ribosomal RNA", at positions 719 to 982 of the family's 1478-position model. The record is from RNAcentral.
ACAGUCACACAUUAGAUACCCGGGUAGUCCUAGCCGUAAACGAUACUCGCUAGGUGUCGGCCACGGUGCGACCGUUGUCGGUGCCGUAGGGAAGCCGUGAAGCGAGCCACCUGGGAAGUACGGCCGCAAGGCUGAAACUUAAAGGAAUUGGCGGGGGAGCACAACAACGGGUGGAGCUUGCGGUUUAAUUGGAUUCAACGCCGGAAAUCUUACCGGGACCGACAGCAACAUGAAGGCCAAGCUGAAGACUUUGCCGGAUUAGCUG